This 267-nucleotide long non-coding RNA is filed under the name Trifolium pratense (red clover). Its description in RNAcentral is "long non-coding RNA (TPRA_LNC010073)". The record is from RNAcentral. Lineage: Eukaryota; Viridiplantae; Streptophyta; Magnoliopsida; Fabales; Fabaceae.
UUCAAAUCUUAUUCCUAACAACACAUCAAUUGUCUCUGCACCUUAGCUGAAGAAAUUUUGAAGUUCAAUCAAUUCACGUCUUUCCAAAAAUAAUUACAUGAAUAAAUAAAAUCUCAAAAAUGUAGUGGAAAUGUUUUCAAAGCACUCUCUAGUCUCUUUCUUGGAAGGUAAGAAACAUACCAAAUAUAAGAUUCACUAUAACAAACAUUAAUUCAUAUAAACGCUGAAAGCUGGUCCUUUAAUCUUAUACUUGCUGAAUUAUUUUUU